GACGAACGCUGGCGGCGUGCUUAACACAUGCAAGUCGAGCGGUAAGGCCCUUUCGGGGGUACACGAGCGGCGAACGGGUGAGUAACACGUGGGUGACCUGCCUUUAGCUCUGGGAUAAGCCUGGGAAACUGGGUCUAAUACCGGAUAUGACUCCGCGGUGCAUGCUGUGGGGUGGAAAGCCUUGUGCGGCUGGAGAUGGGCCCGCGGCCUAUCAGCUUGUUGGUGGGGUGAUGGCCUACCAAGGCGACGACGGGUAGCCGGCCUGAGAGGGCGACCGGCCACACUGGGACUGAGACACGGCCCAGACUCCUACGGGAGGCAGCAGUGGGGAAUCUUGCGCAAUGGGCGAAAGCCUGACGCAGCGACGCCGCGUGAGGGAUGACGGCCUCGG
Molecule: ribosomal RNA, 391 nt
Filed under: uncultured bacterium
Lineage: Bacteria
Description: bacterial SSU rRNA
Rfam family: Bacterial small subunit ribosomal RNA
Source: RNAcentral